GACGAACGCUGGCGGCGUGCUUAACACAUGCAAGUCGAACGCUGAACCCGCUUCGGUGGGGGAGGAGUGGCGAACGGGUGAGUAACACGUGGGCAACCUGCCCCCGGCUCUGGGAUAACUCCAAGAAAUUGGGGCUAAUACCGGAUGUGACCGCUGGCCGCAUGGUCUGGUGGUGGAAAGGGUUUCCGGCUGGGGAUGGGCCCGCGGCCUAUCAGCUUGUUGGUGGGGUAGUGGCCUACCAAGGCGACGACGGGUAGCCGGCCUGAGAGGGUGACCGGCCACACUGGGACUGAGACACGGCCCAGACCCCUACGGGAGGCAGCAGUGGGGAAUGUGGCGCAAUGGGCGGAAGCCUGACGCAGCGACGCCGCGUGGGGAUGACGGCCUUCGGGUUGUAAACCUCUUUCAGCAGGGACGAAGCGCCAGUGACGGUACCUGCAGAAGAAGCACCGGCCAACUACGUG
RNAcentral lists this ribosomal RNA (464 nucleotides) under uncultured bacterium. RNAcentral's name for it is "partial 16S ribosomal RNA". It matches the Rfam family "Bacterial small subunit ribosomal RNA", at positions 28 to 507 of the family's 1533-position model. The record is from RNAcentral.